CAAAAUCAGUCGAAGCCAUUCUCUCUCUUUCAACACUCCUCUCUCUCUCUCUCGAAUACUGCAUUGUUCUUAUCCUGAGAUUUCUAUUUCCUUGCGAUUGAAUUAUGGUUGGUUGAUUUCUUUAUUUGAGACGAUUGCUUAAUCUGGACCUGGUACUGCUUAUCGAAAUUAUGAAGAGAGAAAUUAAAGAACUCAGGCGCCAGAGAGAUUUUGCACAAUCUCAAGUGGAUGAGUUGCAGAAAAAACUUCAAGAGGACCAACGGCUUCAAGCACAUUGGAAUCAACACCACGUCCAUCGGUAAAGAACUGUCUCUCUCUCCUACGCUGAUGCAUUAUUAUGAAAACUUGAGAACAAGGAGAUAAACCGCUGCGACAGAGCAAGGAAAACUAUGUUAAGGCUAUUAUCAUCAACUGCACCUUUUACUCUGAUGCAUGAAAUCCGUAAACUCGAACAUCUCAGGAGCAACUUGGAGCUCUAGAAGUAUUGCAAAAGGAAAGUCAUAGUCUAGGUGAUCGAGAUGCAGCGGAGUCCAUUGCCAAGCUGCAAGGGAAAUGCAACCUAUUCAAAAAAGAUUGUUGAUGUUGUUGAGAAGGAAGAAGGGGAGUUAGAGGAGGUGAGAUUGAUUUGGAUAUGGAACCAGAUCAUUUGAUGCAGUUUGUAAAUUGGAGGGCUUGCAGGAUGUUGUUCUGGGAAAUAGCAUUUCCAAUAAAGAUGAUCUUAUUCAAUUGUCAUUCACUGCAGUUCGAGUGAUUAAUUCUUACGAGAACAUAACAGGGACAGCUUUUCAAGGUUUCACUCGUCAUCCCUUCUGUUACAUAUUGUAGACUUCUUUCUCUGGUAAAUAGGUUCCUUCUCUUUUCACCCCUGAGCAUUCUGAAGAGGUAUGGCUAGUGUAAUUUCAAUCUUAGAUCUUGUUGUUUGCUUUGUUACUUGCUAUGGUAUUACUGUCACUUGGGUUGAUUUUCUGUCAUUAAGAAGUCUAGAAGUGGUAUAUGUUUCCACAGAUUGAGAUCGUGCUUGCCUCUAGAGAUUCUUCUGGUGUUUUUUUUGAGUUCUUAGAAGGAUAAUGAUGUGAUUGGUAAAAGUUCAGGUUACAGAACUGAAGGAGUUUCGGAUUUUAAGAAUAUGCUGAUCCAAUUUCAAAUUUUAAGAAUAGAUCGGCUUUGCUUCCUUUAUUGCAUCUAUACCUCUACCAAUUGUAGCAGCUAUCUAUUUCAUCUAGACCAUAUUUAGACAGCUUCUGCUGUCCUUGGUUUCUCUUUAUGUUCUGUAACCUCCUGAACAGUUUCAGGAUAAAGUUCAUACUUGGCUUCUCUUUCUUCAUGGGCAUUUCAGUACUCCAAUACUUCAGAUAGUACUAUAAUCAAAUAGGAUCAAAAUGCGGGUCAUGUUUACACUGGUUCCUUUGUUAGACCUCCACAAAUAUCAGUACCCCCAAUUAUUAGGCUGCCUGUCAUCCAUCACCUACACGGGAAUCAGCACUUCCUUUACAGUAUAAUAUUUGCGGUUCAUUUGGUUCUCUGUAAUAUUAGGAAAUUCCUUUUCAUUUUCUUCAGCUGGAUAUAAUCUUGAGGAUGAGGAGGGCAACAAGUUUCCUGGCAGAAAACUUUUAGAGAGCAAAGAUAGCAGAUUAAUGAACUAUGGGAUGUAUGCUUUGUAUCCGUCAUCAGUAGGACGCAGUUUUAUUUGUUAUUCACAUAAUAAGCUGAGCUUAGGCGCUUGAAUUGGUUACAGCAGCAUUUGGCAAUGCAUCUUGGAGAUGAGCCUGCAAUUUCUCUAUCCUGAAUGUUUUCUUCUCUCUUUUUAGCCUGCGAACUUACACGAACUGACACAUUGCUUGCAGUUGUUAAUAUCCAAUGAAUGCUUAAAUUAAAUAUACCCUAUCGGGACUCCAAGCUCACUCAUAUAUUGCAGCACUCUCUCGGCAGGAAUGCACGAACUGAGCAGAACCACAGCCUCCUGACCCUUCAAAGGAGAAAGACUUAAAAAGUUCAGCAGCUUUCUACGGCAGUGCAAGUACUAAAUUAACAAGUCGUGUUUCCUCCAAAGAUAAGUUUAUUUUCUGUUAUCUCAUAUUUCGUAGUUUUACUAUUGUUUUAUAUAUUUAAUAUUAUUCUUAAUUUGCUUUUAAUUUCUCUUUAUUCUAUUGUAUAUUUGUUUAUUUGUUUAUUUGAACUUUUAUUUGCUAAUUUUGUUUACUAAUCUAAUUCUUUUCAUAGUGACAGGUUCUAAUUACCCAGUUUUGAUAUCCUAAGCGGUCUUUUAUGGACUUUUAGGAUUAAUUUAGUUAAUUAAUUAGUUAAUUUCUUAUUUGACUUUUUGAGGCUUUUAAGCUAUGGUUGUAAUUAAUUCCCCCUUAAUUGCCCCGAUCUCCUUAAUCCCUUUCUGGAUUUCUCUUUUCUCCUCCCCCCUUUCUAUGUAUGUUUUAUUUUAUUGUUUUUAGAUUUUCACCACACAUGUUUAAGGGACUAAAAUCAAUUUAGGAUUUAUGAGCGAUCAUUUAGCAUGCCUAACAUAAAAUAAAUAAAACUUACCAAAGUAAGCUUCUGGCAUUUCAUAUCUACACUCACUUUAAAAUGCUAAUUUACCAAUUAAAUUUAUGUAAUAAAAUUGGAUUCAAAUUUGGCCACCUUGCAUGUGAAAGAUAAAAAAUCUGAGUUACUAAAGUACCUUCCGUCAGGACUAGUUUUGAGUGCUAAUAUACCUCCAUCUAUAGCACUCUUCUUUGGACUUUUAGGAUUAGUUUAGUUAAUUAAUUAGUUAAUUCUUUAUUCGAUUGUUUUGGUCGCAGUUGUAAUUAAUUUCUCUUGAUCGCUCCGGUCUCCUUAAUCCCUUUCUAGAAUUCUCUUUUCUGCUCCCCCUUUGUAUAAAUGUUUUAUUUUAUUGCUUUUAGAUUUACACUACACAUGUCUAAUAGAAUAAAAUCAACUUAGGAUUUUUCAAUCACCCCACAUGCCCAACAUAAAAUGAACAAAGCUUACCAAUGUAAGCUUCCCACGCCUUAUGUAUUCACUUUAAAAUGCUAAGAUUCUGAAUCCUACACCUAGAUAGUAUCUAAAGUACCAAAGUACCUCAUUCUAGGACUGGUUUCGGGUACCAAAUGUACCUUUUUCCAAGUUAGAAUCGUUUGUUGUCCUCACAUAUUAUAUAAGAUAAAAAGGUUCGUGCUUAAAUAAGUAGAAGUGACUAGAUUAAGGUAAUUUUGUUAGGCUAGCAAACAUUCAUUUACUCUAGCGGAUGCCUAGGCAUGUGCCUCAUGCAUUCCUUAUUCAUACCCUGAGCCCUCACAAUCUUUGAUAUUGGGGAGGGAGAAUUUUUAGGUUCUCUGCAAGGGGUAUAAAGCUGCCAUUCUUACUCUCCAAUUUGUCUCGAUGUUUAGGGUGUCGACUCCAAUUCACAUGAUCAUUGUGGUCCUUUAGGUCUCUUAAUCAUAUGACUUAUUUCAAAAUGGACUAGUACUAAGAACAAUUCCUCGACACAAUGAUGAGGUUGUAAAUCAACUAGGGCCGAGCCUAAAAACCUAUUGUGCUCACACAUUCUUAUAUAGUAAAAGAGAAGAAAUUUUUUUUAAAAGAACUAAAAUACCUUUAGUUAAUCUAAUUAUUUAAUUGAAUAUAAUUUUUAAUCUUAAUUCAAUUCUAAUUUUAUUAUAAUUUAAUAUGCAAUUCUAGUCCUAUAAAGAUUGAUGAGUAUCACUACAUUAAUUUAAUUAGUGAUUCAUCCAAUUGAUGAAAUUAAUAUUACAUAAUUUAAUUUCAUAUAUAUAAGAAAUUGAUGAAUUACUUUAUCAUACUAUGAUAUAGUUUAUGAGCAUUAGUAGGUUUUCAGGCCCAGCCCCAAGUGAUUGGCAUCCUCGUCAUAUUGUCAAAGAAUUUCUAGGCUCGUUUCGAAAUGAGUCAUUCAGUCGAAGAACCUAAAAAGACCACAAUAUUUAUUUGAUAAUCGAAAAAGUGGAAUCGCCACCCAAGAUGCCGGGUCAAGUAAUAGGUUUCGAAAAUUAGGUACGAAUAAGGAGGUUUAUGAAGUGCCCUGGCCUAGGCUGCCUAGCCUCCUUAGUGCAUCUAGUCCCUCUAUUGGUUUAGUGGUCAUCUUCGCCACUUUAUACGAAAUCUCAAAAUCAGAGAUGGUCUCACUGGAUAGUUUCCUUGUGGCUUCCCAGUACCAAGUACUCACUUCCAGUUCAGUGCUCUAUACUACAAAUCUCUCCGUCAUAUCUAUCUUGAUGUUCUGUUAGUAGAUCCCUAUAGAGCAUUAUCCUUAUUUCUCCUUCUUCAACUUCAGCUUUAGUGGAAGUUUCGCCAACAAACUUUAUUAUUAUUUUUGUCAUCUCCGACUGUGUAUACCCCUAAGUAAUAUUGAAAUAUUAGAUUCCUUAUGAUAAUUUUUGAAUGUCAUGAUUCAGUAAAUAUAUUCAUGUUAUGGUUGUCAUUAUUUUUUAGCAGUGAGUUUAGUAUCGUCUUUUAUAAUAUUAAAUUCACAGAGUUAGUCCUUUAGUACCUAUCUAUUCGUAUAGAGUUGGGUCUCACAGGUAAUCGGAAUAUGAAUAGGAAUGUCAUUGCUGAUUAUCAUAAAAUAGUUAGGGUUAAUUACUAAUACCUCUUUAGAUUUGGAUAAAUGUACAAAUCCAAUUUUAUUUUUUCAGAAAUGAACUAAUACG
Ricinus communis (castor bean) is the source of this 4658-nucleotide long non-coding RNA. RefSeq lists it as uncharacterized. Lineage: Eukaryota; Viridiplantae; Streptophyta; Magnoliopsida; Malpighiales; Euphorbiaceae. The transcript is spliced from 6 exons. The record is from RefSeq and is a predicted model, not a curated record.